Orcinus orca (killer whale) is the source of this 1867-nucleotide long non-coding RNA. RefSeq lists it as uncharacterized. The record is from RefSeq and is a predicted model, not a curated record. Lineage: Eukaryota; Metazoa; Chordata; Mammalia; Artiodactyla; Delphinidae. The transcript is spliced from 2 exons.
CUGUGUUCUGAUUGGCUGAGGAAAUCUCAGAUACCAUUGGUCUAAACCUGAAGUCAGCAGCUGACCGUAGCUUCUCAAGGGUCCUUCUGCAGGAUUUUUGGGGUCUUUGGGGUUGAGAGGUGCAGGGGGCUGUUGGAGAGAUUUCUGUCACAAGCGAUCAGAACAGUUGCAUUGCACCCAACAUUGGGGGCUGCACUCCCAGCUCCCAGGCAUGCUAGCAAUUUUCCUGGGCUCUGUCUCGUGCUCUCUGAGGUCCUACGGGGGGGCUAUAUCAUCAACGUAGGGGGUGCCUCAGGCUGUCUGUACUCAGGGCAGUAGGCAGCACACCACAUCACUCUGGCUUUAGAGGAGGGGUGCGUGAAGAUGUUCCCUCAGUUCUCUCCAGCCACAUCCUUCCUUUCCUUUUGUCUUCGUACCUGGACCAAGGAGAACACAAAAACUCCAUGUGCUAAUUGAAGCAAUAUCUUUCAUCAGUAGACCCAGUGGAGCCUCCCAGAAUACUCUGUGCCAUUCUUCUUCCCUCUGUGUCUUGCAGCCAGAGAAGAGUGAGGAUACCAUAUCUUGGGUAUCUUGUCCCACCGUGGAAGUCACCAGAAACGCCCACCACCCACCAUAUUUUUAAUACCUGUGCUGUACUGACCCACUGAGUUUCCAGCUCACUUCAAUAAAGCUUGAGAUGAGACAAGUCCCAAAAUCCAUUAUCUCAGUCCCCUUUGGGAGCAUCUGCUGCCUUCAGGGCUUUAACGAACACAACCCCCCACUUCCAUCAGCAGCCCCUCUGCUUUUACAAAAUGACAGAUGAUACACACCUGCUAAAAUCAGGUUGUUUUGCGUGCAGAGAUUUUCUUUUUUCUUUUUGGCUUAUGUCUAGCUACAUUUCCAGAGCCCUGAGGGAAAGUUGCAAGGGAAUCUCUGGUCAACUCCAUAAUCAUUAUGCCUGAGAGAUAAUGCAGAGACUCUCUCACACCUCUACAGACAUGUUCUGGUGAAGCGCGUUUCCAAGGUGCGAUUCGGUUAAGUUCGUGCUGAACGGAAAGAGGUUGACUCAGAAGUUGAUUUAUCAGAGAGCUGGAAAGAAGCCGGCCCGAGCGGUUGCCAAGGGCCCCAUGCAGAAGUGCUGAAUGUGUAUACCGUAUCACUGUUUAAAAAUGAGCCAACCCAGAAACUCUGGCUUCAAAGAGCUCAGCCUCAAACAGCAGUGGGAAGCAGUCAGGAGAGGCUCCCCUGUGAUCAUGCCACAGAAGGGGUUCUCCUGCCCUCACUGUCAUUCCAGCCACGGCAAAGAGAAGAGCUCCUGCCAGGGCUGGAAGCCUGGUGCUCUGGGAUGGCCAUGCAGGAUGUACAGAGGCCAGAGGGUUUGGGCAGCCGUGAGCCAGAGACCAGGAAACCCUUCCAGUCGUAAUGGAGCUCAAGAACAUUUGUGUGCAUACUUAAUGAAAACUUAAGCACAAUUAUUCUGUUUCCCAAGAAAAUUGAUGAUGAGCAUGUACCUAGCACAAAAUGUUGAUGUUUAUCCAGACACCAUGGGGACCAUGGUCACCGACCACAUGGAAACCUGAAGACGGGAAUCUGCUGAAGAAGCAUCAACAUCCACUGCAAAAGUAGUGAUAAUUUUUAGGAAGUGAUGCCCUAAGUGGGUGACUUAACAUGUGCAGCUCCAGAGAAGUCCAUUUGCACAUCCCUCUGUGGACCAUGACUUUGUUGAACAAGGACAGAGUUUCAGUUUGGGAUGAUAAAAAAAGUUCUGGGGAUGGUUGCACAGCAAUGUGAAUGUAUUUAAUGCCAUUGAAUUAUACCCUUAAAAAUGGUUAAAAUGGUAAAUUUUAUGUAAUGUAUAUUUUACCACAAUAAAAAUGAAUCUUGUUCA